RNAcentral lists this ribosomal RNA (207 nucleotides) under Psathyromyia aragaoi. RNAcentral's name for it is "partial large subunit ribosomal RNA". Lineage: Eukaryota; Metazoa; Arthropoda; Insecta; Diptera; Psychodidae. The record is from RNAcentral.
GAUCUUUAUAUAUUGAUAAUUUUUAUAAAAAUUAGUUAAUUUAUUUUUAAAAAUAAUAUUAUAUUAUAUUGGGGUAAUAAUAAAAUUUUAUAAAUUUUUAUUUAUUAAAUUCAAAAUUAAUUGAUUUUUUUUGAUCCAGUAUUAUUGAUUAUAAAAUUAAGUUACCUUAGGGAUAACAGCAUAAUGAUUUUUGAGAGUUCUUAUCAA